Molecule: ribosomal RNA, 274 nt
Filed under: uncultured soil bacterium
Lineage: Bacteria
Description: partial 16S ribosomal RNA
Rfam family: Bacterial small subunit ribosomal RNA
Source: RNAcentral
AGAAUCAACGCUGGCGGCGUGCCUCAGACAUGCAAGUCGAACGCGAAAGUCCCCUUCGGGGGACAAGUAGAGUGGCGCACGGGUGAGUAACACGUAGGUAAUCUACCUUCGGAUGGGGAAUAACAACCGGAAACGGUUGCUAAUACCGCAUAAUGCAGCGGCACCUAAUGGUGACAGUUGUUAAAGCGGGGGAUCGAAAGACCUCGCGUCUGAAGAGGAGCCUGCGGCGGAUUAGCUAGUUGGUAGGUAACGGCUACCAAGGCGACGAUCCGUA